RNAcentral lists this ribosomal RNA (468 nucleotides) under uncultured bacterium. RNAcentral's name for it is "partial 16S ribosomal RNA". It matches the Rfam family "Bacterial small subunit ribosomal RNA", at positions 28 to 507 of the family's 1533-position model. The record is from RNAcentral.
GACGAACGCUGGCGGCGUGCUUAACACAUGCAAGUCGAACGGAAAGGCCCUGCUUUUGUGCGGUGCUCGAGUGGCGAACGGGUGAGUAACACGUGAGUAACCUGCCCUUGACUUUGGGAUAACUUCAGGAAACUGGGGCUAAUACCGGAUAGGAUCUCCUGCUGCAUGGUGGGGGUUGGAAAGUUUCGGCUGUUGGGGAUGGACGGGCGGCUUAUCAGCUUGUUGGUGGGGUAGGUGCUUACCAAGGCUUGGACGGGUAGGCGGCCUGAGAGGGUGAACGGGCACCUGACGACUACGAUACGGACCAGAGUCGAACGGGAGGCAACAGUGGGGAAUAUUGCACAGUGAGCGGAAGCCUGAUUCAGAGACGCUGCGUGCGUGAUGACGGCUUUCGGGUUGUAAACAGCUGUCGCCUGUGACGAAGCGUGAGUGACGGUAACGGGUAAAGAAGCACCGGCUAACUACGUG